GGUGGCUCAGCGGUAGAGGGCUUGCCUUGCAUGCAUGAGGGCCUGGGUUCGAAUCCUCAGCACCA
This 65-nucleotide transfer RNA is filed under the name Dipodomys ordii (Ord's kangaroo rat). It matches the Rfam family "tRNA". Rfam says of the family: Transfer RNA (tRNA) molecules are approximately 80 nucleotides in length. Their secondary structure includes four short double-helical elements and three loops (D, anti-codon, and T loops). Further hydrogen bonds mediate the characteristic L-shaped molecular structure. tRNAs have two regions of fundamental functional importance: the anti-codon, which is responsible for specific mRNA codon recognition, and the 3' end, to which the tRNAs corresponding amino acid is attached (by aminoacyl-tRNA synthetases). tRNAs cope with the degeneracy of the genetic code in two manners: having more than one tRNA (with a specific anti-codon) for a particular amino acid; and 'wobble' base-pairing, i.e. permitting non-standard base-pairing at the 3rd anti-codon position. The record is from Rfam by way of RNAcentral. Lineage: Eukaryota; Metazoa; Chordata; Mammalia; Rodentia; Heteromyidae.